AUGGCCGGCACCACGGUGCUUCCGCCGUCUCUGCUCCCGCGCCGUAGCGCCGCCGCAGCUGACCUGCACUCCUGCUCCUCCCGCGUGCGCCUAAACCCUGCCUUGAUGGCCAACCCCGCGGCUGCCAAGACGCCGAAGCGGCCCGUGUCCGUGCGCGACGGGCAGCCGCCGGCGAAGCGCGCGCGCGGUGCCUGCUCCGGGGGCGACCUCCAUGCCGCGGUCGCCGCAAACAUCAAGGGCACAAAGCUGCCGUGUCCCAGCAGCGACAGGGAUCCGCUCCACUCCUCCGCGAUCAAGAACCAGAUCGCGGAAUCUCCGGAGAGCGCGACGCAGUCGAAGCCGCCGAUCAGCAUGCGCCAACUGAUCGAGAAAGCUCGCCUCACCAUGGCUCUCCUCGACAAGGCUCGCUCUGCCUCCGAAGAAGAGGCCGGCCGUCGGCGCGACAUCGAGCGCAUCCGAGCGGAGGCCCGGCGAAAGGUGGAGCAGAGGGUGGACACGGUGCAGUUCAACGACCCCUGGAUCCAUCACUCCGACGUGACCAAGUCCCCUGAGGAGCUGCUCCAAGCAAGACAAAACGCAUGGCGUUAUCAAGCUCACCGCGUUGAGAUGGCUCGUCGACGGGACUUUGCUCAAGCGAUGCAAAUCCACGAAUGUGUGGUCGAGUGA
Molecule: ribosomal RNA, 666 nt
Filed under: Triticum aestivum (bread wheat)
Lineage: Eukaryota; Viridiplantae; Streptophyta; Magnoliopsida; Poales; Poaceae
Description: partial small subunit ribosomal RNA
Source: RNAcentral